Molecule: ribosomal RNA, 440 nt
Filed under: uncultured bacterium
Lineage: Bacteria
Description: partial 16S ribosomal RNA
Rfam family: Bacterial small subunit ribosomal RNA
Source: RNAcentral
CCUACGGGUGGCAGCAGUGGGGAAUAUUGCACAAUGGGGGAAACCCUGAUGCAGCGACGCCGCGUGAAGGAAGAAGUUUUUCGGUAUGUAAACUUCUAUUAGCAGGGAAGAAAAUGACGGUACCUGACUAAUAAGCACCGGCUAACUACGUGCCAGCAGCCGCGGUAAUACGUAGGGGGCAAGCGUUAUCCGGAUUUACUGGGGGUAAAGGGAGCGUAGGCGGGCCAGUAAGUCAGAGGUGAAAGCCCGGAGCUGAACUACAGGACUGCUUUUGACACUGUUGAACUAGAGUGUAGGAGAGGUAAGUGGAAUUCGUGGUGUAGGGGUGAAAUGCGUAGAUAUUAGGAGGAACACCAGUGGCGAAGGCGACUUACUGGAAUAUAAAUGACGCUGAGGCUCGAAAGCGUGGGGAGCAAACAGGAUUAGAUACCCGAGUAGUC